Xenopus laevis (African clawed frog) is the source of this 659-nucleotide long non-coding RNA. RefSeq lists it as uncharacterized. The record is from RefSeq and is a predicted model, not a curated record. The transcript is spliced from 3 exons. Lineage: Eukaryota; Metazoa; Chordata; Amphibia; Anura; Pipidae.
UUGCCUCAAUCUUGCCAUUACUACUUCCAUUUCUUACAACAAGGUUAUCCUUAUGAGGGACAGCAUUGUACGUUACUAAGUAUCCCAAGGGAGCACGGGACACCACGUUUAAAAAAUGUAAGUUACUGUAUUAGGCUAAAGAGAAGCAUUCAGUUAGUGUUGAGUCCAUGUUUAUAUCUCAUGUUUAUUUCUCAUGUGCAUUUAUCUCUUUGAGCAGUGCGGGUAACCCAACCCAACCUCCCAACCAACCUCCCAUUCUAUUGUUUUCUCCCAUUCUAAUUAUUUCUUGUGUUGUACUUUUGUUAAUCUUUUUUAUAUUAUUAUUAAUGGCUUAUGUAGAAAUAAUAAAUUUUUUGGUGAAUCAUCCUUUUUUUUCCGACUGCUCAGAUCUGAUCAUUUUAAGCAUAUCUUUUAUCUUCAUACUUGGUGCUCUUUGCCUCAAUCUUGCCAUUACUACUUCCAUUUCUUACAACAAGGUUAUCCUUAUGAGGGACAGCAUUGUACGUUACUAAGUAUCCCAAGGGAGCACGGGACACCACGUUUAAAAAAUGUAAGUUACUGUAUUAGGCUAAAGAGAAGCAUUCAGUUAGUGUUGAGUCCAUGUUUAUAUCGCAUGUUUAUUUCUCAUGUGCAUUUAUCUCUUUGAGCAGUGCGGGUAA